This 253-nucleotide ribosomal RNA is filed under the name uncultured bacterium. RNAcentral describes it as "partial 16S ribosomal RNA". It matches the Rfam family "Bacterial small subunit ribosomal RNA", at positions 524 to 776 of the family's 1533-position model. The record is from RNAcentral.
UACGGGGGGGGUAAGCGUUGUUCGGAAUUACUGGGCGUAAAGGGCUCGUAGGCGGCCAACUAAGUCAGACGUGAAAUCCCUCAGCUUAACUGGGGAACUGCGUCUGAUACUGGAUGGCUUGGAUCCGGAAGAGGGAUGCGGAAUUCCAGGUGUAGCGGUGAAAUGCGUAGAUAUCGGAAGGAACAUCAGUGGCGAAAGCGACUUCCUGGACCAGUACCGACGUUCAGGCACGAAAGCGUGGGGAGCAAACAGG